GACGAACGCUGGCGGCGUGCUUAACACAUGCAAGUCGAACGGAAAGGCCCUGCUUUUGUGGGGUGCUCGAGUGGCGAACGGGUGAGUAACACGUGAGUAACCUGCCCUUGACUUUGGGAUAACUUCAGGAAACUGGGGCUAAUACCGGAUAGGAGCUCCUGCUGCAUGGUGGGGGUUGGAAAGUUUCGGCGGUUGGGGAUGGACUCGCGGCUUAUCAGCUUGUUGGUGGGGUAGUGGCUUACCAAGGCUUUGACGGGUAGCCGGCCUGAGAGGGUGACCGGCCACAUUGGGACUGAGAUACGGACCAGACUGCAACGGGAGGCAGCAGUGGGGAAUAUUGCACAAUGGGCGGAAGCCUGAUGCAGCAACGCCGCGUGCGGGAUGACGGCCUUCGGGUUGUAAACCGAUUUCGCCUGUGACGAAGCGUGAGUGACGGUAAUGGGUAAAGAAGCACCGGCUAACUACGUG
Molecule: ribosomal RNA, 468 nt
Filed under: uncultured bacterium
Lineage: Bacteria
Description: partial 16S ribosomal RNA
Rfam family: Bacterial small subunit ribosomal RNA
Source: RNAcentral